Molecule: ribosomal RNA, 436 nt
Filed under: uncultured bacterium
Lineage: Bacteria
Description: partial 16S ribosomal RNA
Rfam family: Bacterial small subunit ribosomal RNA
Source: RNAcentral
AGCGAACGCUGGCGGCAGGCUUAACACAUGCAAGUCGAGCGGGCAUCCUUGUGGUGUCAGCGGCAGACGGGUGAGUAACGCGUGGGAACGUGCCCUUCGGUUCGGAAUAACUCAGGGAAACUUGAGCUAAUACCGGAUACGCCCUUUUGGGGAAAGGUUUACUGCCGAAGGAUCGGCCCGCGUCUGAUUAGCUCGUUGGUGAGGUUAUGGCUCACCAAGGCGACGAUCAGUAGCUGGUCUGAGAGGAAGAUCAGCCACACUGGGACUGAGACACGGCCCAGACUCCUACGGGAAGCAGCAGUGGGGAAUAUUGGACAAUGGGGGCAACCCUGAUCCAGCCAUGCCGCGUGAGUGAUGACGGCCUUAGGGUUGUAAAGCUCUUUUCUCCGGGACGAUAAUGACGGUACCGGAGGAAUAAGCCCCGGCUAACUUCGUG